Molecule: long non-coding RNA, 942 nt
Organism: Alosa sapidissima (American shad)
Lineage: Eukaryota; Metazoa; Chordata; Actinopteri; Clupeiformes; Clupeidae
Exons: 5
Source: RefSeq, a predicted model, not a curated record
CUUUUAUUGUGACGAGUAACAUCCAAUAACUCGUCUGUGACAUCCAUCAUCUUUCUUUUAGCUGACUUCAACUGUUGAGAUACUGAAAUUGUGUCCCUCCUUUUGAAAGAUACUGAAAUUGUGUCCCUCCUUUUGAAAGAUGCCACGUUCAAACAAAAGGUCUCUGGCAGCCAAGAAGAGAUAUGUUGACUGUGGAUCACAAUCACAGGACCAGGGGUCCUCUGACAAGAUGCCACGUCUGAGUAAGCCGCUCCUGGCAGCUGAGAAGAAAGAAGCUGACCUUCAAUCACAUUCUGAAAACAUGCCAAACGAUAUGCCAAACGAUAUGCCAAACCCUUUGCCAAACCCUAUGCCAAACCCUAUGCCGAACCCUAUGCCGAACCCUUUGCCGAACCCUUUGUCGAACCUCGUUUCAAAUCUGGUUUCAAAUCUGGUUUCAAAUCUGGUGUCAAACCCUUUGCCAAACCCUUUGCCAAACCCUUUGGCAGACAAAUAUGCUGACUAUAUGCCAAACUCUCCACUCACUCUCUCUGACUCUCUACCAAAGUCUCAUGCCUCUUAUGGAAACUCAGUGCCAUACUGUGUCAAUAAACAAACUGUAACUAAUGAUUGUUCCUGUUUGACUCAAUCUGAUGACUUUCCAGAAAGAUCUGUGCUGAUGGGGUCCUUUCAUCAAGGUCAUCCACGGUUUGGAAAUGUGCGCAACAAGCAGUGUGGUGCCAUCAGUUUGACUGCUGUUUUGAAGUCCAAGAUGAAGCACGUGUGGAGCUGGGAUACUGGAGAUCUUGAUGAUGUUUUGAUUAAGGGAACUGUUCUUUACAGGUCAAUGAGUGCACAGGGUAAAAUAAGAGACCAAGGAAGGGGUUACAUUGCUGUGUCUGAAUUGCCUAGACAAUAUGAAGUGUGGAAUUGUGAUUUCUCAAUAAACUUUGCUGAUUCUUA